UAGGGAAUUUUGCGCAAUGGGGGAAACCCUGACGCAGCAACGCCGCGUGAGUGAUGAAGGCCUUAGGGUCGUAAAGCUCUGUCGUAGGGGAAGAUUAUGACGGUACCCUACAAGAAAGGACCAGCUAACUUCGUGCCAGCAGCCGCGGUAAUACGAGGGGUCCUAGCGUUGUUCGGAAUCAUUGGGCGUAAAGCGGAUGUAGGCGGCAAAAUAAGUCAGAUGUGAAAGCCCCGAGCUUAACUCUGGAAGUGCAUUUGAUACUGUUUUGCUUGAGUACGGGAGAGGGUAGUGGAAUUCCUGGUGUAGUGGUGAAAUACGUAGAUAUCAGGAGGAACACCGGUGGCGAAGGCGGCUACCUGGCCCAGUACUGACGCUAAAAUCCGAAAGCGUGGGGAUCAAA
This 400-nucleotide ribosomal RNA is filed under the name uncultured bacterium. RNAcentral describes it as "bacterial SSU rRNA". It matches the Rfam family "Bacterial small subunit ribosomal RNA", at positions 355 to 772 of the family's 1533-position model. The record is from RNAcentral.